GGCAGUGUGGCAUAGUGGUUUGAGUGUUGGACUAUGACUCUGGAAACCAGGGUUCAAGUCCCACUUCAGCCA
Non-coding RNA from Phrynosoma platyrhinos (Desert horned lizard), 72 nucleotides. NCBI's taxonomy places the organism in Eukaryota, Metazoa, Chordata, Lepidosauria, Squamata, Phrynosomatidae. The record is from the annotation of a GenBank genome assembly.